AGCGGCGGACGGGUGAGUAACGCGUGGGUAACCUACCCCAAAGUCCGGGAUAACAGCGGGAAACCGCUGCUAAUACCGGAUGCCUUUACCUUGUGGCAUCUCAAGGUAAAGAAAGGCUACGCUUUAGGAUGGGCCCGCGUCCCAUUAGCUAGUUGGUGAGGUAACGGCUCACCAAGGCGACGAUGGGUAGCCGGCCUGAGAGGGUGGACGGCCACACUGGGACUGAGACACGGCCCAGACUCC
This 243-nucleotide ribosomal RNA is filed under the name uncultured Clostridia bacterium. RNAcentral describes it as "partial 16S ribosomal RNA". It matches the Rfam family "Bacterial small subunit ribosomal RNA", at positions 94 to 339 of the family's 1533-position model. Lineage: Bacteria; Bacillati; Bacillota; Clostridia. The record is from RNAcentral.